GACGAACGCUGGCGGCGUGCUUAACACAUGCAAGUCGAACGAUGAAGCUAGAGCUUGCUCUGGUGGAUUAGUGGCGAACGGGUGAGUAACACGUGAGUAACCUGCCCCGAACUCUGGGAUAACUGCUGGAAACGGUAGCUAAUACCGGAUAUGACCAAUGAAGGCAUCAUCUGUUGGUGGAAAGAAUUUUGGUUCGGGAUGGACUCGCGGCCUAUCAGCUUGUUGGUGAGGUAACGGCUCACCAAGGCGACGACGGGUAGCCGGCCUGAGAGGGUGAUCGGCCACACUGGGACUGAGACACGGCCCAGACUCCUACGGGAGGCAGCAGUGGGGAAUAUUGCACAAUGGGCGAAAGCCUGAUGCAGCAACGCCGCGUGAGGGAUGAAGGCCUUCGGGUUGUAAACCUCUUUUAGCAGGGAAGAAGCGAAAGUGACGGUACCUGCAGAAAAAGCACCGGCUAACUACGUGCCAGCAGCCGCGGUAA
RNAcentral lists this ribosomal RNA (484 nucleotides) under uncultured bacterium. RNAcentral describes it as "partial 16S ribosomal RNA". It matches the Rfam family "Bacterial small subunit ribosomal RNA", at positions 28 to 523 of the family's 1533-position model. The record is from RNAcentral.